CGGAUUGGAGUCUGNAACCCGACUCCAUGAAGCUGGAUUCGCUAGUAAUCGCGCAUCAGCCACGGCGCGGUGAAUACGUUCCCGGGCCUUGUACACACCGCCCGUCAAGCCAUGGAAGCCGGGGGUGCCUAAAGUGCGUGACCGCAAGGGACGCCCUAGGGUAAAACCGGUGAUGGGGCUAAGUCGUAACAAGGUAAC
This 198-nucleotide ribosomal RNA is filed under the name uncultured bacterium. Its description in RNAcentral is "partial 16S ribosomal RNA". It matches the Rfam family "Bacterial small subunit ribosomal RNA", at positions 1294 to 1500 of the family's 1533-position model. The record is from RNAcentral.